GGGGCUGACCGGUUUCGACGCCGGUAACGGAAUCCGAAGUGCAUGCCGAGGUGUCAUGUCCUCGUAAAUCCCGUGGCAACCAAGCUAGUUGCGAACGACUCCAACUACGCCCUCGCCGCCUAAAUCCCGGUGAGCGUCCAUCCUUUCAGUGCCGAUACUGGCUGGAAUGGGCGUCGACUCUUAUCGGAUCGUGGUGAAGCCCGCCCUUGGCCGAUCUGCUAAAACCCUAAGGGGAUAAGCGCCGGCGAUCCGUGCCUGUCCGGGAGCCGACGACGAAAACCAAAGACCGGGCUAAGCAUGUAGAUCUGAGGGCUACGAUCUGGCGGACGGGGGUUCAAUUCCCCCCAGCUCCACCA
Molecule: transfer-messenger RNA, 356 nt
Filed under: Solimonas terrae
Lineage: Bacteria; Pseudomonadati; Pseudomonadota; Gammaproteobacteria; Nevskiales; Nevskiaceae
Description: Standard tmRNA
Rfam family: transfer-messenger RNA
About the family: Bacterial tmRNA, also known as 10Sa RNA or SsrA, is named for its dual tRNA and mRNA-like properties. Its role is to liberate the mRNA from a stalled ribosome. To accomplish this part of the tmRNA is used as a reading frame that ends in a translation stop signal.
Source: Rfam by way of RNAcentral